UGGAAACAAGAGUUGCCAUAGUUGCAACUUCUGUUUAUCAACUUUAAUUUUUAGAACAAAUGUGGAACUAUGAUAACAUAUAUUUGUUUUAUCGAAAUUAAUUAGCAGUUAAUACAAAAAUCUGUGAUGAAAAACAGAAAUUUUUAAGGUUUUAUGACUGAAAUUAAAGGGUUGUUAUGGUGCCAUCGUAACCAUAGCAACCAAAUGUACAACACAUGUGUAAUUGUUAUUUUUUUUAGUUUCUUAUCAAAAUAGAACAUAUGAAGCCCAAAAAAGUCAAUUUGGCAACUAUCACUGUAUCACCCUCUGCAUGAUUCUUAGGUGGAGCCAUACUUAA
Molecule: long non-coding RNA, 337 nt
Filed under: Mytilus galloprovincialis (Mediterranean mussel)
Lineage: Eukaryota; Metazoa; Mollusca; Bivalvia; Mytilida; Mytilidae
Source: RNAcentral